RNAcentral lists this transfer RNA (87 nucleotides) under Actinocatenispora thailandica. Its description in RNAcentral is "tRNA-Leu". It matches the Rfam family "tRNA". Rfam says of the family: Transfer RNA (tRNA) molecules are approximately 80 nucleotides in length. Their secondary structure includes four short double-helical elements and three loops (D, anti-codon, and T loops). Further hydrogen bonds mediate the characteristic L-shaped molecular structure. tRNAs have two regions of fundamental functional importance: the anti-codon, which is responsible for specific mRNA codon recognition, and the 3' end, to which the tRNAs corresponding amino acid is attached (by aminoacyl-tRNA synthetases). tRNAs cope with the degeneracy of the genetic code in two manners: having more than one tRNA (with a specific anti-codon) for a particular amino acid; and 'wobble' base-pairing, i.e. permitting non-standard base-pairing at the 3rd anti-codon position. The record is from RNAcentral. Lineage: Bacteria; Bacillati; Actinomycetota; Actinomycetes; Micromonosporales; Micromonosporaceae.
UGCCGAGAUGGUGGAAUGGCAGACACGGAAGCCUCAAAAGCUUCUGCCCUUCGGGGCGUGCGGGUUCGAGUCCCGCUCUCGGCACCC